This 429-nucleotide ribosomal RNA is filed under the name Gemmatimonadota bacterium. Its description in RNAcentral is "Gemmatimonadetes bacterium partial 16S ribosomal RNA". It matches the Rfam family "Bacterial small subunit ribosomal RNA", at positions 355 to 776 of the family's 1533-position model. Lineage: Bacteria; Pseudomonadati; Gemmatimonadota. The record is from RNAcentral.
UAGGGAAUCUUCGGCAAUGGACGAAAGUCUGACCGAGCAACGCCGCGUGAGUGAAGAAGGUUUUCGGAUCGUAAAACUCUGUUGUUAGAGAAGAACAAGGACGUUAGUAACUGAACGUCCCCUGACGGUAUCUAACCAGAAAGCCACGGCUAACUACGUGCCAGCAGCCGCGGUAAUACGUAGGUGGCAAGCGUUGUCCGGAUUUAUUGGGCGUAAAGCGAGCGCAGGCGGUUUCUUAAGUCUGAUGUGAAAGCCCCCGGCUCAACCGGGGAGGGUCAUUGGAAACUGGGAGACUUGGGUGCAGAAGAGGAGAGUGGAAUUCCAUGUGUAGCGGUGAAGUGCGUAGAUAUAUGGAGGAACACCAGUGACGAAGGCGGCUGUCUGGUCUGUAACUGACGCUGAGGCUCGAAAGCGUGGGGAGCAAACAGG